RNAcentral lists this ribosomal RNA (265 nucleotides) under uncultured archaeon. RNAcentral's name for it is "partial 16S ribosomal RNA". It matches the Rfam family "Archaeal small subunit ribosomal RNA", at positions 718 to 982 of the family's 1478-position model. The record is from RNAcentral.
AGUCACUGACAUUAGACUACCCGGUAGUCCCAGCCGUAAACAAUGUGCGUUAGGUGUGUCGGUAACCACGCGUUACUGAUGCGCCGAAGAGAAAUCGUGAAACGCACCACCUGGGAAGUACGGUCGCAAGGCUGAAACUUAAAGGAAUUGGCGGGGGAGCACCACAACAGGUGGAGCCUGCGGUUUAAUUGGAUUCAACGCCGGACAUCUCACCGGAUAAGACAGCUGAAUGAUUGUCAAUCUGAAGGUUUUACAUGACUAGCUG